UUUUUUUUUUUUCUUCCUGAAGGUCUAAUAAUUUCUCUUUUAGGAAACUCCGUAUAAAUGGAGACAUAGGUACAACUUGCUCAUUGAUGCCAGCGGUGAAAAACCAGAACCACCAAGGUGUCUAUUAAUUAAAAAAUGGAUAAAUAAGCGAACUAACAGCACGUCCAUCCUCAUGGAUAAAGCUGAGACACGCGAGGUUGAGUGGAGAGGUACACUCAGCAUGUGGGGCCAUUUAUAAAAGGCGUGAAAACAAACGAGCCAAGACUAGGUGUUAUUUACAAAUCUCCGUGGAUGUAGAAGCGGCUGGACGCCUAGGAUGACCAGACCCCGGUCAGGGUAGGCGACCUCGCUGAGGGCACCUGGCUCCCAGCUGGCCCCCCCGGCGCCGCUGGCACAGGCCCGGGGUUCCCACCAGGUCCUGGUCGCUGCAGUCUUCCUGGUCCGUGGCCCACUUCUCUUUGGACUUGGCGCUGUCAUGCUGGGAGUCCAGAGAGACGAUGUCCGAUGGGGAGCUGAUGACGCCGGAGUCCUCCGUGGUGUCCUCGGACGCCAAGCAGCUGCCGACGGACACGGUCUCUUCCGCCUCUGGUGGUAUGGGCGGGACCCUGUCCACACCUCGGGGGCUGCCAGGCCCCAGGGGCAGGCUCCCUGGACGAGACAGGGCAACGGCAGGUCAGCCAGCACCCAGGGGCUCCCCGCCGCCAGACUCAGGUGCAGUCCGGGCUUGGGGCGCCAGGGAGGGUCCGCUCAGACACAGCAGCUGCCGGGCAGCACUUUGACUGGGAAGAACCCGCAAGCGGACGUGACUGAGAGCAGCAGAUCCCCUCAAAAAUCAGCGUAUUUUGAAUUGAUCUUGUGAAUUUUUACCCUGUAUGUGACUACGGGCCAACAUUAAAAAGUUCAGACAAUUGUCACGACAAAAUGAGGAAACACACACUCAAUUUGUCUAGUCUGACCCUUGGUUUAAAAGAAAUUUUGUUUCUUUGGGUUUUUUUGGCCACAUUUCAUGGUGUGGGGAAGUUCCCGGACCAGCGAUUGAACCCGAGCCACAGUGGUGACCCAAUUCACUUCAGCGACAACAUCAGAUCCUUAACCCGCUGUGUCACAGGGGAACUCCUAAUAGAAGUUGUUCUCAAGUGAGUUGUUUGGGAAAAAAAAGGAGUUUAAAAACUCUAAACAAACCUAGAAAUGAUUAAUCUUGUUUGGGAACUUCUAACAAAUAUUCCUCAGGAAUAUUUGUAAUUCUGCUGAAAACAUUAACGACACUCUCCAUCAGCGUCCGGCUCUCCCUUUAUUUUCACAUGUGAGACAGUUAGAUCUGAUUUAAAUAAGCGAUGAUCGUAGGAGAGAACCCACAAGUAAAACUGAAAAGAAUCAGGACAGGGGGUUCCCUGGGGGUGCAGAGGGUUGAGAAUCCAGCAUUGUUACCGCAGUGGUUUGGGUCCCUGUUGUGGUUUGGGUUUGAUCGCUGGCCUGGGAAACUGCACAUGUGGCAGUUGUGGCCAAAAAAAAAAAUAAUAAUAAUAAUAAAUAAAAGAAUCAGGACAAAACAUCCGUGGCUGAGGUUACCAGGCCCUGAGCACUAAUGUGGUUUGCGGCAGAAGCAGUAAGGUGCAGAGCUGUCACUCACCGUGGAGGCCCACGUUCCACUGAAGUCUAGCAGUGGUGAUGGGGGCUUUGAGGCACCCGGCUCGUCCAUCCAGCUCGCCUAAGAAGGAUCUGCCUACAGUAUUGAGGUGCAAGGACAGGAAUCCAGAAUGCUGGACCAAUUGUGGACCAGAGGGUUUUUUUUAAGGUCUGCACCUGUGGCAUAUGGAAGCUCCCCUGCUAGGAACUGAAUCUGAGUUGCAGCUGCAGGGCUACGCCACAGCCACAGCAAGGCCAGCUAUGAGCUGUGUCUGCACCCUACACCACAGCUCUCAGCAGGGCUGGAUCCUUAACUCACUGGGCGAGGCCAGGGAUCGAACCCAUAUCCUCAUGGAUACUAGUUGGGUUCUUAACCCACUGAACCACAAGGAAACUCCCGCAGAUUUUUUUUUUUUUAAAUUGAACACAGAAGUAGAUUUUCAACUUUAAGACACCUCAAGACGUGAUCUAAGCGCUGUUUAUGGUCAUCCAGGACGGAGGGGUUGUGUUGUGGUUUCAGUGUGUUUGGUUUUAAAACCGCUCCUUCAACGAGCACUUGCUAAAAUGAAUAGAGACCACACACGCGCUGAGUGCCAAGUCCGCAGAACUGUGCCUGGACAGUCGAGUGACCUCAUAAUCACGUUCGGCAUCGCUCACAUUUUAACUAGAGCAGAGCAGAGACACAGAAUUAGCAAAGCCGAGAGAGCACCAAGGGGAAAACUCCUGCGGGUGUUGGCUUAUCUGAGAUCCCCAACAAUAAAACACAGAAACGAGCGAGAUUUAAAAAAAAAGGCACUCGCGAGAGCUUCCGAGUAAAGAUCAGAAACAAGGGAGGGACUGUUUAGCGAAGCAAAGGCACAAGGCGACGUAUCCGACGCAGUGAAUGCUCGUUAACAAGAGGCCCUUUCUUCCAGCUCCCUUCCUGGCUUUUGUGGGGCAAGACUCUUAAUUAGAGGGCAAACACGCAGAAGGAACACUGCCGCUGCGUUAAUACAACCAAAGCCUUUUCUGCCAUGGGUGCUGCUGUCACACCUCGGACGGGGUGUGCCGGCUGCUGUGUCCGCGGGGCCGGGGACUCCGCCCGGGACCCUCCUGCCCGCUCUGCUCAGAGAGGCCCCCCUGCACAGCCACAGGGCGGCCCGACGACCGUGCAGACUCUUGUUUCCUGUCUCCCUUUUGUCGCCAUCGCUGAACAAGUAGGUCAGUUAACCUAACAUGACGUUUCCUUCCUCCUGGUGCAGAAACGGCCCGGCCAGGGGAGCGGCGCCCAGGUUUCAGGCCGCAGAGACCUGGGUUUAAGUCCCAGAGAGCACUUCACUGGCUGCCCGGGCAGGUCCCUGGACCCUCUGUCUCCAUUUCCUCUGGGAGGUGGGGUCAUACACUGUCGCAGAACUAGAAGCGAUGCCAGCCCCCAGCGCGGUGCCCUGGCCCGACUCCACUGUGGGGGGUGUUCCUGGAGGGGACGGGCCUGUGGCUGGACCUGGGGGCACAGAUCUCCAAUCCGAGCGUCUCCGAAACCUGGGGACUCACGGUUUGUGAGAGGACAGACACAAAGACCGACAAUGCCAGGGAGUAAAGCCAAGUCCGGGUGUGUUGGCACAGGUAGAGGGGGUGGGCUGGGCAGCGGGAGGUCUUAGCGCAGGGCAGGUAUGAAUGAGUCUGGCCCUGCCCCCUCCCCACGCCAGCAGGCAUCCCUCAAGUGUGAAGUGACCUCAAGAAACCUGCUCCCCAAAGGAGGACUCUCAUCUGGCCCCUCCCAACGACUAGGACCACAGGUUUCCUGAUACUCGUGUGCCCUGGGCACUCAGAAGGCAUCCACUGGGGGGUGGGGUAGGGAGGACCCCGAGCUGCCCCUUUCUAUCCAGUUGUAAGAUGGAGAUGGCUCAUCUGGGCUUGUUUUAUGUCCGUCAGAAGUUCUGAAGCAAACGGAGUUGUGAGCUACUGUUCUAAAUUCAGCCAACGGCAAACGCUUCAUCACCAAGAGGUGAGAAGGCUCUACUCACUGCGUGUGUGUUAAGCGACCUAAAAGUGCACAGCGGAGACUGAGUGCCAGGCGGGUCCUCUGUUUCUGGCAGAUAACCUCUCCCGGGCCCAGGCUGCUCCGUCCUUGAACCUGAUGAGGGACAGGUGCUCGUGAGGGCCCUGAGGCGGUGCCGGGCAGCGGGCGCGGGAGGCCCUGCUCUCAGGCAGCCCGCAGCCACAUGGGAUUGGAAGCGCCUGGGGGAUGGCUGCCAUGCCUCCUGCAACUGCGCGCAUGGGAAGGGCCAGGGAGGGUUGGGGCAGAGGGUGGAAGGGUGCUCAGGGCACAGGGUGGGUCUGCAAGCCAGGGCGUGACCUGCUGGGGCACAGGUAUAGGUGGGCUCCGUGGACUCCGCUGGGUGAGCUGCCAAAGACGGCAGAUUUGAAGAAGGAACCCGCGUCCCUGUGAGGUUCUGAACCUGGGUUGGGGUGUUCAGUUCUUUCUGCAGUCGGCUGUCAGCCUGAGAACCUCCCGCUUGGAACCAGACCCUCCAUCUCACUCCCCUGCCCCCCAUCUUUCUCCUUUUGGCUCAUUCCUGUUACUAUAACCUCCUGAGCUGUAACAUGUUUUGACAACUUCUGUCUGAGAUGAUGGAGCAGGAGGCUGUCAUGCCUUUGCUGAUUCCAAACGGAAGCCUAAACACAAGAGGAAGGCCUGGAGCUGCUGGGCCCAGGUCCUGCCCCCAGAUCCUUCCGCACACCUCGCUUUCCACCCGCCCGUGGCCCCGAGGGUUUCCACCGAGCAGUGGUCCAGGGACCCAGCCCGAGCCCCACGUUCUGGUCAGACUGCUGCUCAGAACUUUGAACAGCCCUUUCUCCUCUCUGUGAAACACACAAGGGGAUGCCGAUGAGCAUAAAAUCCCUGCUAGAUCUAGAAUCCUAUCCUUCUCUGCAAUUCCAAAUCACAAGAGAGCAGCUAAACAUUCUUUCGGUGGGUGACUGGCCCCGAAUUAGGAAUCUUAACAGAACCGUGGCGUGGACUUGAUCCUCUGGCCAGUUUCUGUCGGCCCUGAGAGUUAAGCAGUUCUUUUUGAGUCGAUGAAUGGAUUGGCGAGUUUGCUCUCCUCUUAAGGCGUGAAUGACUUUCUUGAACUAAAAAGUUAUUGUUGCAGGAUUUUUCUUCAAAUGUGGAAAAACACGCUUACUUUGUCUUUAGCAGAUGCCAAACACACAUUCGUGAUUGAAUUCUCUUCCACAUAAGUGGCCCCGGGGCCCAGGUCAGGCCUAUUACUGCCCGCAUCGUCCUCCACCCGAAUGAAUGACCCCGUGAGUCGACUGCGUUACAGCUAAAUGAAGGGCUUUGGGAAACUGUCCGGCUCGGGGGUAGAGCAGCAAAUCCUAACUUAGGGCUCCCAGGUCCUCACUUGCAGUUUGGCACGAAUUCUAGUGAGUUUUUCUUUUACAAACUCACCGAAGAAAACUUCAAACACCAAACGUAAAUAUCUCCUAAGCACUUUUGUCGUGGGUUCAUUUUUAUGAUUUGAUUAAAUGCAAACGAAAGAUCUUCUAUCUUCUGAUUUAGCUUCCGACGCGCUCUCUUGCUGGUCAUUACGAAAGGAGAUUUCUCGAGUCUGUUUGGCCAGGUUCACACGCCCGUAUCGUUAGCAGACUAAUCGCAUCCCCAUGGGGUCCUGGUGUCUGCGGUUCCCUGUGCACCUUUCACAAGCCAACAGGCCUCCAUCUCAACCUACCUGGAUGUAGUUCCUUUUGGUCUGUGCACUGGGGAUAAAGCGGAAAAGAAGGGAGCUGCAGGUAAGGUCCUCCUGAGCCCAUGAUGCCACCUGACAUGAUAUACAUCCAGGGUUUUUGGCAGACACACCCCUAAAUAACGUGCACAGCCACGCACCCUGCUGACAUUUUAACUCACAUCUGCAAGGUUCCAUCGCAAUUUCAACUAAUUACAACAGAUGUACUUUCACUGCAACUGUUAAU
Molecule: long non-coding RNA, 5577 nt
Filed under: Sus scrofa (pig)
Lineage: Eukaryota; Metazoa; Chordata; Mammalia; Artiodactyla; Suidae
Description: lncRNA (ENSSSCG00005005400.1)
Source: RNAcentral